This 435-nucleotide ribosomal RNA is filed under the name uncultured bacterium. Its description in RNAcentral is "partial 16S ribosomal RNA". It matches the Rfam family "Bacterial small subunit ribosomal RNA", at positions 30 to 507 of the family's 1533-position model. The record is from RNAcentral.
AGCGAACGCUGGCGGCAGGCCUAACACAUGCAGGUCGAGCGGGCAUCUUCGGAUGUCAGCGGCAGACGGGUGCGUAACACGUGGGAACGUACACUUAGGUUCGGAACAACUCUGGGAAACUGGAGCUAAUACCGGCUACGACCUCAUGGGGAAAGGUUUACUGCCGAAGGAUCGGGCCGCGUCGGAUUAGCCAGUUGGUGGGGUGACGGCGUACCAAGGGGACGAUGUUUAGCUUGGCUGAGAGGAUGAUCAGCCACACUGGCGGUGAGAAGCGGCGCGGACUACUACAGGAGGGAGCAGAGGGGAAUAUUGGACAAUGGGCUGAGGCCUGAUCGAGCCAGGCCUGGUGAGUGAUGAAGGCCGUAGGGUUGUAAAGCUCUUUUGUCCGGGACGAUAAUGACGGUACCGGAAGAAUAAGCCCCGGCUAACUUCGUG